This 556-nucleotide ribosomal RNA is filed under the name uncultured bacterium. Its description in RNAcentral is "bacterial SSU rRNA". It matches the Rfam family "Bacterial small subunit ribosomal RNA", at positions 338 to 911 of the family's 1533-position model. The record is from RNAcentral.
CCUACGGGAGGCAGCAGUGGGGAAUCUUGCGCAAUGGGCGAAAGCCUGACGCAGCAACGCCGCGUGCGGGAAGAAGGCCUUCGGGUUGUAAACCGCUUUCAGAAGGAACGAAAAUGACGGUACUUUCAGAAGAAGGUGCGGCCAACUACGUGCCAGCAGCCGCGGUGACACGUAGGCACCAAGCGUUGUCCGGAUUUAUUGGGCGUAAAGAGCUCGUAGGCGGUUCGGUAAGUCAGAUGUGAAAACUUUGGGCUCAACCCAAAGCCUGCAUCUGAUACUGCUGUGACUUGAGUUCGGUAGGGGAGUGGGGAAUUCCUAGUGUAGCGGUGAAAUGCGCAGAUAUUAGGAGGAACACCGGUGGCGAAGGCGCCACUCUGGGCCGAAACUGACGCUGAGGAGCGAAAGCGUGGGUAGCAAACAGGAUUAGAUACCCUGGUAGUCCACGCCGUAAACGUUGGGCACUAGGUGUGGGUUCCAACCACGGAAUCCGCGCCGUCGCUAACGCAUUAAGUGCCCCGCCUGGGGAGUACGGUCGCAAGCUAAACUCAAAGGAUUG